RNAcentral lists this transfer RNA (91 nucleotides) under Ignavibacteriota bacterium. RNAcentral describes it as "Ignavibacteriae bacterium tRNA-Ser". It matches the Rfam family "tRNA". Rfam says of the family: Transfer RNA (tRNA) molecules are approximately 80 nucleotides in length. Their secondary structure includes four short double-helical elements and three loops (D, anti-codon, and T loops). The record is from RNAcentral. Lineage: Bacteria; Pseudomonadati; Ignavibacteriota.
GGAGAGGUGCUCGAGUGGUUGAAGAGGCACGCCUGGAAAGUGUGUAACCGUUAAUAGCGGUUCGUGGGUUCGAAUCCCACCUUCUCCGCAA